ACUCCAGUGACGCAGUGGUUAGCGUGUCGUUCUUAUAUCGGUCAUCUGAUGAUACCAAUAUGAUCAGCCUUAGAAAUGCGAAAGUCGUGGGUUCGACACCCACCUGGAGUA
RNAcentral lists this transfer RNA (111 nucleotides) under Blumeria graminis f. sp. tritici. It matches the Rfam family "tRNA". From Rfam's summary of the family: Transfer RNA (tRNA) molecules are approximately 80 nucleotides in length. Their secondary structure includes four short double-helical elements and three loops (D, anti-codon, and T loops). Further hydrogen bonds mediate the characteristic L-shaped molecular structure. tRNAs have two regions of fundamental functional importance: the anti-codon, which is responsible for specific mRNA codon recognition, and the 3' end, to which the tRNAs corresponding amino acid is attached (by aminoacyl-tRNA synthetases). tRNAs cope with the degeneracy of the genetic code in two manners: having more than one tRNA (with a specific anti-codon) for a particular amino acid; and 'wobble' base-pairing, i.e. permitting non-standard base-pairing at the 3rd anti-codon position. The record is from Rfam by way of RNAcentral. RNAcentral also lists the same sequence under 1 other name. Lineage: Eukaryota; Fungi; Ascomycota; Leotiomycetes; Helotiales; Erysiphaceae.